Molecule: ribosomal RNA, 1800 nt
Filed under: Triticum aestivum (bread wheat)
Lineage: Eukaryota; Viridiplantae; Streptophyta; Magnoliopsida; Poales; Poaceae
Description: partial small subunit ribosomal RNA
Source: RNAcentral
AUGGCAAAUACCUGCACAAACUUCACCGAUACCGUACGCUUUGUGCGGCUGUUCAAGAUCGAUGGUUUCGACAUGAUGUCCUCGACCCUACGCGACAAUGAGUGCAUCACAUCCAGGUGGUGCAUCAAUGGGUAUGAGUGGGAGAUCCAUUGCUACCCACCUAGGUGGGCGUGUGAUUGGGUAGCAGUCAAGCUUAUGUUGGUUAGUGAAGCCGGCACUGUGGCUGUGAGGGCGAACCUAAGCUGUCUCCUGGUACAUCCGGUGAUGCAAGGAGGUGUAUCACAGUUUGAAAAGAGCGUGUCACAUGUGUUCAAAAGCCACAAAGAUUGCUCGAAUCGAGUCAAGCUCGUGCAAAAAUCAUCUAUACCAGCGCCGGCUCAUCCCAAGGAUGAUUACUUGAUUGUGCAGUGCACCAUCACAGUUUUGAAGGAACGGACGGACGUGGCAGCCGCGGUGCCCGUACCGGCCUCCAACCUGCCCCAACACUUCGGGGACCUCUUGCAACGUGGGACCGGAGCCGACAUCACAUUUGUUGUGUCGGGCGAGUCAUUUGCUGCUCACAAGGUCAUACUCGCUGCUAGGUCGCCUGUUCUCAUGGCCGAGUUCUUUGGGUACAUGAGGGAGGCGAGUGCUCAAAGCAUCAUGAUAAAGGACAUGGAGGCGGCAGUAUUCAAGGCAAUGCUGCACUUCAUCUACACUGACACGGUGCCUGAACUUGAUCGGGAGCUGGAGGCAGUGGAGACGAUGGCUCAGCAUCUGCUUGUGGCGGCUGACAGACGACUCAUCGGGAAGGUGAACGCAAAGAUUGUUGGGUAUUUUGCAUUGAUUGACCACUUCGGUGUUGUGUCUUCAACUUCCAACGCCCAUGCAUGCCGGCGUCUCCACCCGAGGAGUCACCACCUCGCUGGUUUUAAUUGCCGCCCCUGCUGUACAAAUUGCCCUGCUCCGCCAUCAGUCCAUCAUCUUCUCACCCCCAACCUCCACUUCCUCUCCGUCUGCACCCCCUCUUCUCCAGCCUGCGCCAUGGUUGCUAAUACCUGCACAAACCUCACUGAUACCGCGCGCUUCGAGCGACUGUUCAAGAUCGACGGGUUCAGCUUGGUGUCCUCGACCCUAGGCAGCACUGAGCUCAUCAAAUCCAAUGCUAUCCACGUCGAUGGGUACGAGUGGGAAAUCCAUUGCUUUCCACGUGCUUGGUACAGCAAUUGGUACGUAGCACUUAAGCUUAUGUUCCUGAGUGAUGCCCCCCGCACAGGCGCUGUGACGGCGAGCCUAAGCUGCCUCCUGGUACAUCCGAGGAUGGUGGGCAAUGCACCACACUCUGAAAAGAAUUUGGCACAUGUGUUCAGGCGCCACAAAGACUGCUCAAAUACAGUCCUGCUCGUGCAAAGGGAUUCUUUAAUGCAGCCGGCUUGUCCCAGGGACGACUAUCUGACCGUGCGGUGCACCAGCACGGUCCUCAAAGAACCACCGGCUGUGGCAACAACGGUGCCUGUCCCGACCGCCAAUCUGCACAAGCACCUCAGUGAGCUCUUGUGUAGGGGGACGGGAGCCGACGUCACAUUUAGUGUGGGCAGCGAGAAGUUUGCUGCUCACAACGCCAUACUCGCUGCGAGGUCCCCUGUUCUAAUGGCCGAGUUCUUUGGACAAACGAGGGAGGCAACCUCUCCAUGUGUCGUGAUCGAGGACAUGGAGGUGGCAGCUUUCAAGGCCAUGCUGUGUUUUGAUUUUCGGUUUGAGCUUUUUUUCGCCCUAAGCCGAGAUGGCCGAAUUUCGGCCAUUUUCAAAAAUUUCGGCUGA